Astyanax mexicanus (Mexican tetra) is the source of this 891-nucleotide non-coding RNA. NCBI's taxonomy places the organism in Eukaryota, Metazoa, Chordata, Actinopteri, Characiformes, Acestrorhamphidae. The record is from the annotation of a RefSeq genome assembly.
GUUUCACUUUGCAUUAUCAGCCCAUGCUUCAGUGCUCUGCUAGUGUUUAUAGUCCUGUGAGUUUAACACUUCAUGACUGAGAGCUGCUGCCCAGCAACUUCACCCACAGCAACCAUGACUUUCUUCUCCAUCUUCAUCUGGACUCUCACUCUCUGGACUGGAGAGUCUUUUGGGGAAAUCAUAAUGACUCAGUCUCCAAAUUCUCAGCUUGUGACUCCAGGACAGACUGUUACCAUCAGCUGCAGAUCCAGUCAGAGCAUCGGCAGCUAUCUCGCCUGGUAUCUUCAGAAAUCUGGAGAAGCUCCUAAACUGCUGGUGUACUACACUAGCAACAGAUAUUCUAGUGUUCCUGGUCGUUUUACUGGGAGCAGAUCUGGAUCUGAAUAUUCUCUACAGAUCUCUGGAGUUCAGGCUGGAGAUGCAGGAGAUUAUUACUGUCAGCAGGGUGACAGCCUUCCGUUCACACAGUGUUAGAGCGUCGUACAAAAACCUCCCUCAGCUGUAGAGGAAGUGCUCAGACUAAGAAACACACACAGUUGUAGGAUUGAAGAUUGAAAAUAACAUAACAAAAUUAAAAUGUAAAGAGUCAUAAAUAGAUGAUAACAUUGUUUUACAGUGGGGUGGUUUUGUAAAGAACCUUCACUUUUACUAAAAGAACCCUUAUAGAACCCCCUAAUUAUAAUUCUCCAGUUCAAGCUGGAUGAUGUAAUGUGAGCAAUGUGGACUUCAGGAGGAUCCUCAUUCCACCACUUUGGGAUAAGUACACUGUAUCAGUGAGAUCUUUACUUAUGGUUCUGUGUGGAUCUCAGUGAUGGACAUUUUAAAAUUUAAAGUUCUGACGUCUGUGUGUAGUUCUUAAAUUAUAAAACACAGCAGCACUUGUUGAUGGGA